This 460-nucleotide ribosomal RNA is filed under the name uncultured bacterium. Its description in RNAcentral is "partial 16S ribosomal RNA". It matches the Rfam family "Bacterial small subunit ribosomal RNA", at positions 338 to 795 of the family's 1533-position model. The record is from RNAcentral.
CCUACGGGUGGCAGCAGUGAGGAAUAUUGGUCAAUGGACGAGAGUCUGAACCAGCCACGUAGCGUGAAGGAUGACUGCCCUAUGGGUUGUAAACUUCUUUUAUAUGGGAAUAAAACGUUCCACGUGUGGGAUUUUGUAUGUACCAUAUGAAUAAGGCUCGGCUAACUCCGUGCCAGCAGCCGCGGUAAUACGGAGGAUCCGAGCGUUAUCCGGAUUUAUUGGGUUUAAAGGGAGCGUAGGUGGAUUGUUAAGUCAGUUGUGAAAGUUUGCGGCUGAACCGUAAAAUUGCAGUUGAAACUGGCAGUCUUGAGUACAGUAGAGGUGGGCGGAAUUCGUGGUGUAGCGGUGAAAUGCUUAGAUAUCACGAAGAACUCCGAUUGCGAAGGUAGUUCACUGGACUGCAACUGACACUGAGGCUCGAAAGUGUGGGUAUCAAACAGGAUUAGAUACCCCAGUAGUC